RNAcentral lists this long non-coding RNA (1290 nucleotides) under Homo sapiens (human). RNAcentral's name for it is "HSALNT0129756". The record is from RNAcentral. Lineage: Eukaryota; Metazoa; Chordata; Mammalia; Primates; Hominidae.
GGUGUCAAAGCCCUAGGACCAAGGGCCUAAUUAUAAUAAAGAAGGCUUUUUUGUAUGUGGAAUAUCCUCAGUGGUUAUCUCUUCAGGGACCUAGUGGGACAGUAGGUAUAGCCAAGGCAGAUUUUCAGAAUACUAGUCAUCUAUAUUCCUCUGUCCAUACCAUGAUGACUACUAAGCAUCUACUCUGGCACUGUGCUAUGCACAUGAGAAGUACUUAAAAUUUAAAACAUGGUCAGGUGUGGUGGCUCACUCCUGAAAUCCCAGCACCUUGGGAGGCCAAGGCAGGCAGAUACUUGAGGUCAGAAGUUUGAGACCAGCCUGGGCAACACGGUGAAACCCCAUCUCUACUAAAAACACAAAAAAUAGCUGGACAGGGUGGCAGGCACCUGUAAUCCCAGCUACUCAGGAGGAUGAGGUACAAUAAUCACUUGAACCCAGGAGGCAGAGGUUUGCAAGUGAGACUCCAUCUCAAAAAAAAAAAAAAAAAAUUUCCAGUGACAGAGAAAAAUAUUUCCAGUGACAGAGAUUUUGUAAUUCUUUGUAAAUGUGCUUGAUGUUUGUGGUUAAUCGCCUGUAUAAAGAAUAUUUUUAGGCUGGGCACAGUGGCUCAGGCCUGUAAUCCCAGCACUUUGAGAGGUCAAGGCAGGUGGAUUACGUGAGGCCAGGAGUUAAGACCAGCUUAGCCAACAUGGUGAAACCCCAUCUCUACUAAAAAUACAAAAAUUAGCCAGGCGUGGUGGUGGGUGCCUGUAAUCCCAGCUACUUGGAAGGCUGAGGCAUGAGAAUCACUGGAACUUGGGAGGUGGAGGCUGCAGUGAGCCAAGAUUGUGCCAUUGCACUCCAGCCUGGGAGACACAUCAAGACUCUGGUCUCAAAAAAAAAAAUUAUUGUUUUCAAGUUUUCAUUUCUUACUAUUGUGUUCAAUGAAUUACAUCCUCCAAAUGAUGUAUUUAUAACUCCAUAUUCCCUUUUUCAACAAAUAGUUGCGGAGAACACACUUGUUUCCUUAGAAGUGUUAAAAUACAGUUGAUAAAACUACUUAUCUCUAAAAAACAUCUGGAGGGUCCAGGAAAUACUAAGAGAAUAAUUCCUGAUCCUUAGGGAAAAAGCAUUUAUUGAGACUCAUUGUACAAAGAAAUCAAUAUGACACUGAAAUAUAUUAACCAGUACUAGACUAUGAAAAACAAUCUGCUUCAAUGACUUCCAGACCUCCUACUUUGUUUGGGAAUAACUGGUUUUUACUACUUUCUUUAAUUUCAAGAGUCAUCUUACAGCUGGGUACAGUUGUUC